GGGCCCAUAGCUCAGCCUGGCAGAGCGACCGGCUCAUAACCGGUCGGGCAGGGGUUCAAAUCCCCUUGGGCCCA
RNAcentral lists this transfer RNA (74 nucleotides) under Nitrososphaera sp. Its description in RNAcentral is "tRNA-Ile". It matches the Rfam family "tRNA". Rfam says of the family: Transfer RNA (tRNA) molecules are approximately 80 nucleotides in length. Lineage: Archaea; Thermoproteati; Nitrososphaerota; Nitrososphaeria; Nitrososphaerales; Nitrososphaeraceae. The record is from RNAcentral. RNAcentral also lists the same sequence under 3 other names.